This 86-nucleotide transfer RNA is filed under the name Acidobacteriota bacterium. RNAcentral's name for it is "Acidobacteria bacterium (activated sludge metagenome) tRNA-Tyr". It matches the Rfam family "tRNA". From Rfam's summary of the family: Transfer RNA (tRNA) molecules are approximately 80 nucleotides in length. Their secondary structure includes four short double-helical elements and three loops (D, anti-codon, and T loops). RNAcentral also lists the same sequence under 1 other name. Lineage: Bacteria; Pseudomonadati; Acidobacteriota. The record is from RNAcentral.
GCAGAAGUAUCCACGUGGCAAGGUAAGCGGUCUGUAAAACCGUUCUUCUUAAGUGAAGUUUGAAGGUUCAACUCCUUUCUUCUGCA